AUCCAGCUGAUCUGUCCCAAAUAGAACGAAACGCGCAUCCUGGAU
Molecule: non-coding RNA, 45 nt
Filed under: Schistosoma haematobium
Lineage: Eukaryota; Metazoa; Platyhelminthes; Trematoda; Strigeidida; Schistosomatidae
Source: RNAcentral